Long non-coding RNA from Xiphophorus maculatus (southern platyfish), 1419 nucleotides. RefSeq lists it as uncharacterized. The transcript is spliced from 3 exons. NCBI's taxonomy places the organism in Eukaryota, Metazoa, Chordata, Actinopteri, Cyprinodontiformes, Poeciliidae. The record is from RefSeq and is a predicted model, not a curated record.
CAGCAGUCUGGUGAGAAAUCUUCUGAUUGCACCUCUGUUUGGUCUUAAACUUCAGAUUUAUAAAAUCUGUUAUUUAUUUAAUCACCUCAUACUUUCAGGUACAUCUGCUAAAACAUAUAAUGGUUGUUUUCAACUGAAAGACUGGAAGAAAGUGCACAUCGCAUCAGCCUCUUUUUGCCGGUUUCAAAGGAAAACAUCCAGCGGCACCUCUGCUGACCUGCAGCAAAAUAUUCAGGUGUUAUACUAAGAUGGGGAUUGCUUCAGCAGCCUAAGGCGACAGGAAGAUAUAGCAGCUGUUCAGAGGACAACAUGAGGGAUUCACGUUUGUACAAAAAUGGAGCUCUUCCGAUGGAGAAGAAAGAAGAAUCUGUAUUCUUGGUGGCUUUUGAUGAUAAGCCAAACAUUAUCUGCUUCCUAUUGUGUACUUCCAAAGUGUGUACCUCCAUCAUCAGACAGCUGUGGUCUACAAGGGAGAAACAGCAACAUGGGAAGUCAUGUAGGUCCCCUGGAAAUUAAGCUCAUCUCUAUGGUCUCUUCACACAUUUCAAUUCAACUCAAUUCAAAAAUACUUUUUUGAUUCCAAAGGGAAAUUAAAUAUUAAAUUUAAUUAUAUAAUUUAAUUUAUUAAUGUAGUAAUUCAUAUAUCACUGCACUGUUUUCAUUUUUAACACAUUAAUGACAGAUUUUUUUAGUCUUUUGUUUGUUUUAUACAAUUAAGUCCUGAAAUAAAUGUGCUGCAUCAGUUGACUUACUGCUUAUCCCUGUGGCCCAUGGUGCAGUGCUGCAUCUCUGGUCAGUUGGUAGUCUGAGAUGAAGCACUGUAGCUCGGGACGGAGGACAGACAGAGCUGUUGAGGUAUGUCCGUAACAAGGAAGAAGCAUCUAUCAAGAUUGGCGGAACUAUGAGAUGUUUCUCUAGAGAAGAAAGGAGAACGUGAAGCUGGCAUCCAUGGAGUUAUAAAGGAUAUUCUGUCUACCAUUCUGUAAUUUUUUCUGUUUUGUAUUGCUCCUUUCUUAUUUUAUGAACUCCAGCUGAGUUCAUAAAAUAAGAACUCAGCUUUUAUUUAUUUAUUUUUUCCAAAAGUAGAAUUUUGAACAGUCACUCUUUUCAGUUAGUUUUUCCUUUACCCUUUUCUCUGGGGUCCAGUUUUCCCAGGAAUCCCUUCACUCACGAGAAAGGGGGAUUCCUGGAAAUACUGAUCUUGGGGGCGAGGCCUCUCACCAAGUCCAGUAUGACAUUAAUAGAGUAGAAGGAAUUAAUAUGUGUGAACUCCUAAAAAAAAAAGAGUUGACAGCUGUGAGAUAUCUUAAAAAAGACAAAGUGACUUACGCUCCUCAUGUUUUACUUGCAUAUCAUUUCAAAUUGUAUAUCUAAUGUAUUUGGUUGUCUGACAGAAUAAAGAAAACAGUUAAAAAAUAA